UCUAAUGAUGACAGUCAAUAGUUUCCUGUCAGCCUGACGGCAGUAGAGCCAUUUUGAAGACAUAAUUUUUAACUCAGCUCACACUGAAUC
Molecule: small nucleolar RNA, 90 nt
Organism: Trypanosoma brucei brucei TREU927
Lineage: Eukaryota; Euglenozoa; Kinetoplastea; Trypanosomatida; Trypanosomatidae
Source: RefSeq, a predicted model, not a curated record